AAGCAUGAAGCCCCCCUCAAGAUGAGAUUUCCCAUAGCGUAAGCUAGUAAGAUCCCUGAAAGAUGAUCAGGUUGAUAGGUUCGAGGUGGAAGCAUGGUGACAUGUGGAGCUGACGAAUACUAAUAGAUCGAGGACUUAACCA
Molecule: ribosomal RNA, 142 nt
Filed under: Bacillus sp. bc15
Lineage: Bacteria; Bacillati; Bacillota; Bacilli; Caryophanales; Bacillaceae
Also listed under: 1 other name
Description: 23S rRNA. Bacterial LSU
Rfam family: Bacterial large subunit ribosomal RNA
Source: RNAcentral